This 434-nucleotide ribosomal RNA is filed under the name uncultured bacterium. RNAcentral's name for it is "partial 16S ribosomal RNA". It matches the Rfam family "Bacterial small subunit ribosomal RNA", at positions 29 to 507 of the family's 1533-position model. The record is from RNAcentral.
AGCGAACGCUGGCGGCAGGCCUAACACAUGCAAGUCGAACGAACCUUUCGGGGUUAGUGGCGGACGGGGGGGUAACACGUGGGAACGUGCCUUUAGGUUCGGAAUAACUCAGGGAAACUUGUGCUAAUACCGAAUGUGCCCUUCGGGGGAAAGAUUAAUCGCCUUUAGAGCGGCCCGCGUCUGAUUAGCUAGUUGGUUGAGGUAAUGGCUCACCAAGGCGACGAUCAGUAGCUGGUCUGAGAGGAUGAUCAGCCACAUUGGGACUGAGACACGGCCCAAACUCCUACGGGAGGCAGCAGUGGGGAAUCUUGCGCAAUGGGCGAAAGCCUGACGCAGCCAUGCCGCGUGAAUGAUGAAGGUCUUAGGAUUGUAAAAUUCUUUCACCGGGGACGAUAAUGACGGUACCCGGAGAAGAAGCCCCGGCUAACUUCGUG